RNAcentral lists this ribosomal RNA (443 nucleotides) under uncultured bacterium. RNAcentral describes it as "partial 16S ribosomal RNA". It matches the Rfam family "Bacterial small subunit ribosomal RNA", at positions 338 to 795 of the family's 1533-position model. The record is from RNAcentral.
CCUACGUGUGGCAGCAGUGGGGGAUAUUGGACAAUGGGGGAAACCCUGAUCCAGCGACGCCGCGUGAGUGAAGAAGUAUUUCGGUAUGUAAAGCUCUAUCAUCAGGGAAGAAAGAAAUGACGGUACCUGAGUAAGAAGCCCCGGCUAACUACGUGCCAGCAGCAGCUGUAAUACGUCGGGGGCAAGCGUUAUCCGGAGUUACUGGGUGUAAAGGGAGCGUAGACGGUAAUGCAAGUCUGGGGUGAACGUCGGGGGCCAAACACCCGGAAUAUUCUGGAAACGGUGUAACUGGAUUGCAGGAGAGGCAGGCGGAAUUCCUAGUGUAGCGGUGAAAUGCGUAGAUAUUAGGAGGAACACCAGUGGCGAAGGCGGGCUGCUGGACGACUACUGACGGUGAGGCGCGAAAGCGUGGGGAGCAAACAGGAUUAGAUACCCUAGUAGUC